GGCCGACAGGCGUAGUCGAUGGACAACGGGUUGAUAUUCCCGUACCGGCGCUGACGCGCCAAUGCUGAAUCUGGUUGUGCUAACCGGUUGAUCGUGUGUGUCCUUUCGGGGAUGUGCAUGUGAGGUCCGGAUCCUGGCUGGUAGUAGGCAA
RNAcentral lists this ribosomal RNA (151 nucleotides) under Frankia canadensis. Its description in RNAcentral is "partial 23S ribosomal RNA". Lineage: Bacteria; Bacillati; Actinomycetota; Actinomycetes; Frankiales; Frankiaceae. The record is from RNAcentral.